RNAcentral lists this ribosomal RNA (419 nucleotides) under uncultured bacterium. RNAcentral describes it as "bacterial SSU rRNA". It matches the Rfam family "Bacterial small subunit ribosomal RNA", at positions 355 to 787 of the family's 1533-position model. The record is from RNAcentral.
UGGGGAAUAUUGCGCAAUGGGGGCAAGCCCUGACCGCAGCAACGCCGCGUGAAGGAUGAAGGUUUUCGGAUUGUAAACUUCUUUUGUUGAGGACGAAGAAAGUGACGGUACUCAACGAAUAAGCCACGGCUAACUACGUGCCAGCAGCCGCGGUAAUACGUAGGUGGCAAGCGUUGUCCGGAUUUACUGGGUGUAAAGGGCGAGUAGGCGGGUUUGCAAGUCAGAUGUGAAAUACCGGGGCUUAACCCCGGGGCUGCAUUUGAAACUGUAGAUCUUGAGCGUGGAGAGGCAGGCGGAAUUCCCGGUGUAGCGAUGGAAUGCGUAGAUAUCGGGAGGAACACCAGUGGCGAAGGCGGCCUGCUGGACAUUAACUGACGCUGAGGAGCGAAAGCGUGGGGAGCAAACAGGAUUAGAUACCC